GGCAGUGUGGCCUAGUGGUUAGAACACUGGACUGGGACUUGGGAGACCUGGGUUAUACUUCCAGCUCUGCCG
RNAcentral lists this transfer RNA (72 nucleotides) under Chelonia mydas (Green sea turtle). It matches the Rfam family "tRNA". Rfam says of the family: Transfer RNA (tRNA) molecules are approximately 80 nucleotides in length. Their secondary structure includes four short double-helical elements and three loops (D, anti-codon, and T loops). Lineage: Eukaryota; Metazoa; Chordata; Testudines; Cheloniidae. The record is from Rfam by way of RNAcentral.